GCUGCCUGCCAAUUAGCCUGCGUGUCUACCUCGACAACAUGUCAAAGUGUACGUCAUCACUGCUGAGACACGUUCAACUUGGUCGUGUGCUGUGUUCUUUUGAUUAUAUACACUCAUCAGGAUUUCGUAGAAUAACCACAGUGCCUUUUAUUAUCAUGAGUAAUUUCUCUCACUUUGCAACGAAAGCUAUUCACAUUGGUAACGAACCUGAUCAAUGGAAAUGCCAUGCUGUUGUACCACCGAUUUUUCUAUCUACAACAUUUGAAGAACAAGAACCGGCAGUCACUUACGUAAGAUUUUUAUCGACGAUUUUUACAUAUCUACCUUUAUAGUAUAUGUUAGUAUGUAAACCUGAUUUUAUCUAGCGAUGUUAUGAAUGGGG
Paramuricea clavata is the source of this 382-nucleotide non-coding RNA. NCBI's taxonomy places the organism in Eukaryota, Metazoa, Cnidaria, Anthozoa, Malacalcyonacea, Plexauridae. The record is from the annotation of a GenBank genome assembly.